RNAcentral lists this long non-coding RNA (363 nucleotides) under Solanum tuberosum (potato). RNAcentral describes it as "long non-coding RNA (STUB_LNC001173)". Lineage: Eukaryota; Viridiplantae; Streptophyta; Magnoliopsida; Solanales; Solanaceae. The record is from RNAcentral.
UCGAAAUGGUACAUCCUCUUUAUUUUCUUAUUCUUUCUCAAUGCACAUAACACUUGUCACAACCAUUCUCAGAACAAUGCAAAUGACAUGUUCACACAAAUAAUGAGGAGAUGACCAUUUUCAUAACAUUGCACAAUUCACAACAAGACAAUCAGGCUACAACAUCAACAAUGAUUCAACAAGCCUUUCAAACAAUUCUCAACACAUCACACAAAUAAUUGAUCACAUUGCCUUUUAUUAUCCCUUUUUCAUCAUUAGAAUUAAUCAAUGUGGACAAGUCAACCCAUCACCAAGCCUCAUUACCCUAAACACAUAUUACAAGGAAAUACAUGAAUUCCAUACACUUAACAAGGGUUUAGAAAU